UUUAAAUUGAGAGUUUGAUCCUGGCUCAGGAUGAACGCUGGUGGCGUGCCUAAUACAUGCAAGUCGUACGCUAGCCGCUGAAUUGAUCCUUCGGGUGAAGUGAGGCAAUGACUAGAGUGGCGAACUGGUGAGUAACACGUAAGAAACCUGCCCUUUAGUGGGGGAUAACAUUUGGAAACAGAUGCUAAUACCGCGUAACAACAAAUCACACAUGUGAUCUGUUUGAAAGGUCCUUUUGGAUCGCUAGAGGAUGGUCUUGCGGCGUAUUAGCUUGUUGGUAGGGUAGAAGCCUACCAAGGCAAUGAUGCGUAGCCGAGUUGAGAGACUGGCCG
RNAcentral lists this ribosomal RNA (332 nucleotides) under Oenococcus oeni. RNAcentral describes it as "bacterial SSU rRNA". It matches the Rfam family "Bacterial small subunit ribosomal RNA", at positions 1 to 306 of the family's 1533-position model. Lineage: Bacteria; Bacillati; Bacillota; Bacilli; Lactobacillales; Lactobacillaceae. The record is from RNAcentral.